This 450-nucleotide ribosomal RNA is filed under the name uncultured bacterium. RNAcentral's name for it is "bacterial SSU rRNA". It matches the Rfam family "Bacterial small subunit ribosomal RNA", at positions 355 to 796 of the family's 1533-position model. The record is from RNAcentral.
UGGGGAAUAUUGGACAAUGGGCGAAAGCCUGAUCCAGCGACGCCGCGUGGGUGAUGAAGGCCUUCGGGUUGUAAAGCCCUGUGGGCAGGGAAGAAAAUGGUGAGUGCUAAUAUCACUCGCACUUGACGGUACCUGCUCAGAAAGCACCGGCUAACUCUGUGCCAGCAGCCGCGGUAAGACAGAGGGUGCAAACGUUGCUCGGAAUUACUGGGCGUAAAGCGCGUGUAGGCGGAUCGGAAAGUCGGGCGUGAAAUCCCCAGGCUCAACCUGGGAACUGCACUCGAAACUCCCGGUCUUGAGUGGUGGAGAGGGAAGUGGAAUUCCUGGUGUAGAGGUGAAAUUCGUAGAUAUCAGGAGGAACACCAGUGGCGAAGGCGGCUUCCUGGACACCAACUGACGCUGAGACGCGAAAGCGUGGGGAGCAAACAGGAUUAGAUACCCCCGUAGUCC